This 1358-nucleotide unclassified non-coding RNA is filed under the name Hevea brasiliensis (rubber tree). The record is from RNAcentral. Lineage: Eukaryota; Viridiplantae; Streptophyta; Magnoliopsida; Malpighiales; Euphorbiaceae.
UUUAAUGACUGGGACCACAAACAGACAUAAUGCCUUCAAACAAACUUGUUUGUAGCCAAGUGCAUUUGGAUUAUCAUUUUUAAGUAACUGAAAGUAUGAAAGAAAGACAAAUAGGGAGUAAAAGAAGAAACAAAAGAAAAGGUAAAGUCUUGGACGCACAAGCUGUGUCUACCACAAAUGGUCAGGCACCCAGAAUACUGCAUGAUGCAAUAAAUUUUCAAAAGACUGAUAGAACAUAUAAAUCUGGUCAUAAAACCUGAUAUCAGAAAUGGCAAAAUAGGUCUGAUAGGAAAAUGUGAAUGUAAAUGGCUUUCCAUCAGUGUUUGUAUUUCGAAUUCGAGAUGUCAACAUCAGAUCUCCUCCAGGUCCCAGAGUUACCCUUAGACGAAACUCAUAUCUGUGAGGCCAGUUUUUAACGCCUUCUUCAGAAUGUUUAAGUAUCAAAUCAAUGAAGGCCUUGUUGGAACUACUUGUCCCAAAAGGUGGGGGAUCAGGAUCAAUGCACCAUUCCCUGAUCCUUGCAAAUCCACAUUGCUCAAGAGAACUGUGACUUCCAAAUUGAGGAAAACAAAUUUGGACACCUCCAUUAAUUACUUUCAGGUGCUUAAAAGUAGCCUUGUUACUGACAAAAAGCAAUUCUUCACCAUGUUCAUUCUUCCAAGAUGUCACUUGGCCUCCAUACAGGUACACCUCAGCAGAGAAGCCACGAACCUCUCUGAGAAUAACCUUGUCAAGGCCAUUAACGCCCUUGCACCUCUCCACAUACUGACACGUUGUCUUCUCUGCCAUCCCUUCACAUUCUUUUUCUCUCUGGUUCUCUCAAACUCUGUUAAAGGUGAGGUUCAUAUGCAAAUGCUAGACUCAAUGGCAUUGGCACCCACAGUGCGAGUGUGUGCACCUUCCACCACUUUAAAUUCCAAAGGCGCCCUCUACUCUAUUUUAAACCAUAACCAAAUUUAAGCCAUGCUUCUGUUCUGUCCAUCCAAAUUGUUCAUCUUUACAUAUUCAUUUGAAUCGAAAGCAGGAAUUUAAGGAUUUGCAUGGUGGCCCAAGCCCAAUUUUGAUCAAUCUCGAAUUACUAGGGGAUUCAUUAGAAAAAGAAAAUGGAAAAUUCUCACUUCUUUUAAGAAUGUUUAUUGCUUCCUAUACACAAUUUUCAUCAAACAUGCUUUGAAUAAUAUAUUGGAAACAUUCUUGAAAAUUUCUCUGUUCAUUUAGUAAUUUUAAUUAAUGCAAUUAAAAUUCAUUUGUCUUAUAAUUUUUCCUUCUAAAUCAGAUUAGCAUUAUUUUAUGACUAAUUAAUAUUAAAUUUUAGCACUCCAAAUAUAAAGUACAUGUUAGUAAAAAUAAUUAUACUU